GACAGAGGGUGCAAACGUUGCUCGGAAUCACUGGGCGUAAAGGGCGCGUAGGCGGGAAUGUAAGUCGGGCGUGAAAUCCCCAGGCUCAACCUGGGAACUGCACUCGAAACUGCGUUUCUUGAGUAUCGGAGAGGAAAGCGGAAUUCCUGGUGUAGAGGUGAAAUUCGUAGAUAUCAGGAGGAACACCAGUGGCGAAGGCGGCUUUCUGGACGGUAACUGACGCUGAGGCGCGAAAGCGUGGGGAGCGAACAGG
Molecule: ribosomal RNA, 253 nt
Filed under: uncultured bacterium
Lineage: Bacteria
Description: partial 16S ribosomal RNA
Rfam family: Bacterial small subunit ribosomal RNA
Source: RNAcentral